This 960-nucleotide long non-coding RNA is filed under the name Malus domestica (apple). RNAcentral describes it as "long non-coding RNA (MDOM_LNC002297)". The record is from RNAcentral. Lineage: Eukaryota; Viridiplantae; Streptophyta; Magnoliopsida; Rosales; Rosaceae.
UUCUUAUUGAUGACAUAUAAUUUAGUUUGCAAAUUUGAUUUAAAAAUUUGGUAUCCCUAACAUUACCUAUUAGAUAACGUAUUGCUACUGUAAUUUGGUAUUAUUGAUUGUAACCACUUUUGAAAACUAAACCAAAAUAACACACAUGAUUUCUGUAAUAGAACAAAAUAAACACUAUUUUUUGAAUUAUAGCAAAAUAACCACAUUAUUUUUUAAACUAAACCAAUAUAAUCCACACUAUUUUUGAAACUAUAGCCAAACAACCACACUAUUUCUGAAACUAAAUCAAAAUAACAACACUAUUUCUAAAACUGAACCACAAUAACUACACUAUUCAUGGAACUACUGCAAAAAUAACUCACACUAUUUCUAAAACUGAACCAAAAUAAUCCACACUAUUUAUGAAACUACAAAAAAAUUACUCACACUAUUUUUCAGAACCAAAAUAACCCACACUAUUUCUGAAACUAUAGCAAUAUAACCACACUAUUUCUGAAACUGAACUAAAAUAAUUCACACUAUUUAUGAAACUACAAAAAAAUUACUCACACUAUUUUUCAGAACCAAAAUAGCCCACACUAUUUCUGAAACUAUAGCAAUAUAACCACACUAUUUAUGAAACUAUAACAAAAUAACCACACUAUUUUUGGAACUACAGCAAAAUAACCUACAUUAUUUCUAGAACUACAACAAAAUAACUCACACUAUUUCUGAAACUGAACACAAAUAGCCACACAUUAUUUUUGGAAUUAUAACAAAAUAGCCCACACUAUUUUUGAAAAUUAAACCAAAAUAAUCUACAUGAUUUCUGGAAGGAAACAAAAUAAACAUUAGUUUUGGAAUUAUAGCAAAAUAACAUACAUUAUUUUGAAACUAAGCCAAAAUAACCAACACAAUUUCUGAUACUGAACAAAAUAACACACAAUAUUUUUAAGACUGCAACAAAAUUAUACCUAUUUU